Physeter macrocephalus (sperm whale) is the source of this 4390-nucleotide long non-coding RNA. RefSeq lists it as uncharacterized. Lineage: Eukaryota; Metazoa; Chordata; Mammalia; Artiodactyla; Physeteridae. The record is from RefSeq and is a predicted model, not a curated record. The transcript is spliced from 3 exons.
AGGAGUUGCCACCGAGAUCGGACACCGGAGAGCAGGCAUCUAAUGUCGCGUAAAGUAAGGCCGAUCUCCGGUCACCCGGCGAGGCGGAUGACAACAGCGUCCUUGUAGGCAGGCUGGCUGGAGUGUCGGGCUUCAGGAGACGCAGAUGGGAACCGGAGUAGAGAUAUAUGAGCUCUUUGAAAGCAGAACACUGUUGUUUCCAUGUUCUGAUCAUUCAGAGAUUAUGAAGGCACAGUUCCUGCCUUUGAUUUGCUUACAGUCAAGCGGAGUAGACACAGGUCAUGGUGGCAGUAUAGCCACUUAAGUAUUCUGAAGGAGUCCAGUCUAUUUGAAUGUAAGGAAUCUCGUAAGCUGCUUUCAAAGAAGAGACCCACAUUUAGGCUUAGGAAUGAGCACAGGGGAGACAGCAAGGUUAGAAUCCAAGUUCAUUCUAUAAAAACAUUUUUAUCGGUUAUGUCUGAAUGACUGCAAUUUGUUUUAAUCAGCUGCAAACUGUUUAGCUGAAUUUGCAUAACUCAAAUAAAUGAUAGUUUAAUUCUACCAGGAUUUGAGUGAGGUGGAAAUAGAGCAGAAAAACCUGAAUCUGUCAAAGUGUGGGAAAAAUGAAGAAAAAGCAAUUAAUUAGUGGGGCUUAAUUUUUUUCUGGGAUUGGGGAAUAGCAGAAAACAAGCCCUGAAGUAGAAAGACAUGAACUAGCCCCUGUUCAGUAGCAUUUCUAAAAUAUUUGGGACAUUUUAUUAACUUGGGGCAUAGCUGUGCCCAACUCAUGGUUACGCUCCUUCCGGGAGACUUCCUGACUGACAGGAAAGAUGCUGACUGGGUACAGUCUUUCCAAAUCACAAACUGUUAUCUUUUUUUUUUUUGGCUGUGUUGGGUUUUCGCUGCGCGUGGGCUUUGUCCAGCUGUGGCUGGCGAGUGGGGGCUACUCUUUGUUGCGGUGCAUGGGCUUCUCAUUGUGGUGGCUUCUCUUGUUGUGGAGCAUGGGCUCUAGGCAUGCAGUCUUAGUAGUUGUGGCUCACGGGCUCUAGGGUGCAGGCUCAGUAGUUGUGGCGCACAGGCUUAGUUGCUCCGCGGCAUGUGGGAUUUUCCCAGACCAGGGCUCGAACCCGUGUCCUUUCAUUGGCAGGCGGAUUCUCAACCACUGUGCCACCAGGGAAGCCCACAAACUGUUAUCUUAUAUUUAGAUUCAUUAAGCGUUGGUUGCCAUGAAGCAAGCAUAUAUAAGAGUUCAAAUCUCUUAAAGCUUGAAGUUAUAAAAGUAAUAGAUUACCAUUCCCUCAAUAUCUUGACAUGCUAGAGGACAGUGUUUUAAAAGCUGGACUUGUCAUGUUCUUCUGGAGACUAAGAAAAUAGAGUCCUUGAAGUCAAGCUGACUCUGCUUUUAGCCUCCUAAAUGAAAAGGUAGAUAGAACAGGUCUUGUUUGUAAAAUGAAUUCAAGACCUACUUAUCUACCAACAGCAAUUAUACACUUUCCAUUGUCUUACAACAGAAAAUAGGAGUAGUGAAUUUAUAGAUGAGUCAGGGUGAAGAAAGACAUAGUGAACCCAUGAGAAUCUUACUCUAAUUGAUAGGAAGGUGACUAGAAGUUGGAGAAGUUGGUUAGGAAAGUGGAGGAGAGGACCUUUCCUGUAGUACAGUCUUCAUAGGGUCCAGGAAGUCUUUUUUUUUUUUUUUUUUUUUAAUUAAUUAAUUAAUUUUUGGCUGCAUUGGGUCUUCAUUGCUGCGUGCAGGCUUUCUCUAGUUGCGACGAGCGGGGGCUACUCUUUGUUGUGGUGCAUGGGCUUCUCAUUGCGGUGGGUUCUCUUGUUGAGGAGCACAGGCUCUAGGUGCACGAGCUUCAGUAAUUGUGGCACGCGGGCUCAGUAGUUGCACACGGGCUCAGUUGCUCCACGGUACGUCGGAUCUUCCCAGACCAGGGCUCGAACCCGUGUCCCCUGCAUUGGCAAGUGGAUUCUUAACCACGGUGCCACCAGGGAAGACCCAGGAAGUCUUCUGGUAGCUAAACCUUGGAUAGAGACCAACCUAGUCUCAUUUACAGAAUGCCACAUCAUGGUGAAUUGUGCUGGGGGCAGCUGCCACUGUGUGAGCCACGUAAGAUUUUAACACAUUUUGGAGUUUGAGAAGAGCAAAUUGAUGACCAAGCACAUGCUUCAGAAAUUACUUUAUUGCAUGUGUACAAGUGAUUGCAUAUUGUUGUUUGAACCAGCAGGAAGUCAAUUAUUAAACAUACACUUUUCCAAAUAAAAGGCAGUUUAAUUUUACCAGAAACCAGUGUCAUUUUGUAUCCCAAGUCUCUAACCAGCUUUACAAUCUCAUCUAAUAAAGGUGCCUUAAAUUCUGAGUAUUUUGAAUUAUUAAACCCGUGUUAGUUUACACCAGGAUUCUGUGAUGGUUUUACAUAUUCUCUUUCCCCUUUGUUAAGGUGGGGAAGCCAAAGAUUAUGUUAAUAACUUGCUCAAGAGUUAUAAAGUGAUAUAGGUAAAGCUAAGAAAAGAACAGAUUUUGGUAUCUUUUGCCCAGUAUGAGGGAUUGUGGCUACAAUGGUCUGAUUUUUUUUAAAGUUCUUUUUCUGUUUUGUUUUUUAACAGAUUUAUCAGCAGGUUGCAGGUGAACAUGGCCUUGAGGUAAAUCCUGCCCCUUAUUGAAAUUUAGUUCCAGCAGAUUGUUCUUGGCAUUUUAAGGAAUUAGAAUAUUUUACAAAAAACAAAAGUUUUGUUUUGGUUUUUCUCUAGACUUUUUUUUUCUUGUGGAAGGUGAGAAACAUGUUUAAAGAAAGGUUCUUUAUGCUGAAUAAUUGUGAUGCUUGAAGUUGGUCAUCUGCCUUAUUUAGAUUCAGUGGAUUUUAAAAAUCAAAGCUAUUUCCACACCAUUUUUUUCUUGAUCAAAUAAAAUUUUAUUAGAACCUUAUAGGUGCCUAGUUUUUGUGUGUGUUUUUUUUUUUUUUUUGCGGUACGCGGGCCUUUCACUGUUGUGGCCUCUCCCAUUGCGGAGCACAGGCUCCGGACGCACAGGCUCAGCGGCCAUGGCUCACGGGCCCAGCCGCUCCGUGGCAUGUGAGAUCUUCCCGGACCGGGGCACGAGCCCGUGUUCCCUGCAUCAGCAGGCGGACUCUCAACCACUGCGCCACCAGGGAAGCCCAGGUGCCUAGUUUUUAUCCAUGUUAUAUUACGUGUGAAAUAAAGCCUAUUAGAAUCCUGAAUUCAAAUUUACUUUAUCUGUGAUGUCCUACUUCCUACUCACUAGUUUCUUUUUUAGUAGCUGAUAACAUUUUUGAUAAUACACGCAUAUAUAUUUUAAUUGUUUGUAACUUGAACCAUCUCUGUGCUUGCUUUGGUUUUAUCUUCCUCAUAUAAGGGUAGUGAUCCAGGUUGGCAGGGCAGAGGGGUGUGUGUGUGUGUGUGUGUGUGUGUGUGUGUGUGUGUAACGAGCUUUAAGAUUUUCAAGUUGAGUUGUGAAUUCAAGAAUCUGAACUUCUGUUUAUACCAAUAGGCAGAGUUUUGAGAGGAGACAAGAGGUGCUCCUUGUGUCAGACUUUGAGUGUACUUGGAAACAUGAAAGUGAAAAUCUUUAAAGUGAAAGAUUUUUCAGUUAACAUAAAACUUUAAAUGAUGAGAUCAGGGGCAUAUAUGUUUAGAGAAGCAUCCACAGGGCACGAUACUAAAUUGUCCCUGAGAAUUGCUUUACAGGUAGAGUCAUUUACUCUGCAUCUUAACUGGUAAGCAUGAAAAUGCUGUGUGUGCAGAGCUUUAAGUGGCAACUGGAAACUUGAACUGGAGAACCAGAAAUGCAGCCCAGGGAGCUGGGCAUCGAGGUCACAAAAUGGCAUGAGAGCAGUGAGGCAGGAUGCCCAAAGGUGCUGGCUGGAGACCACCUCUCCUACCAGGGCUCAGCUUUGCACUUGGUGGACUGAUAUUUUCUUUUAAAAGAUUGUUGUGCAUUUGCUAUAUGUCAUACACUGUUAUGCAUUCUCAUGUUUGUCAUUAAAUCUCCCAUCCUAUAAGACAAAUAUUAUUUUUCUCUUUGUUUAAAGAGAAACAGAAGCUCAGGGAGAUAAUGUGACUUUUCAGUGGUCGUAAGGCAAAGUCGCUACAAAAUAGCAAUCAAACUCAGGUCUUCCGAUUUCAAAUCUGGUCCUCUUUACAUUAUAGGACAGUUCCUAGAAUCAGUUGCAACUAAUGUUGUCUAUUUUUUACCAGACCUUAGCCCCCCUACCCCAAACGUGCACAUAGUGAAAGCAGCACAUUUAUUAUUAUUUAUGUGUAGGCUGCUUUGUGACACCAGGAAUCAUGUAGUAGUAGGUAAUGUUGCAUUUUUACCAGUCUUGCCAUCUAGCCACAGUUGCCCCUCUCUUCCUUCAUACUGCCUCCCCUCAGGUUUGUCCCUCUCCUG